RNAcentral lists this ribosomal RNA (620 nucleotides) under uncultured bacterium. Its description in RNAcentral is "bacterial SSU rRNA". It matches the Rfam family "Bacterial small subunit ribosomal RNA", at positions 394 to 1006 of the family's 1533-position model. The record is from RNAcentral.
UUGCCGCGUGAGUGAUGAAGGUUCUCGGAUCGUAAAACUCUGUUGUUAGGGAAGAACAAGUGCAUAGUAACUGAUGGCGCCUUGACGGUACCUAACCAGAAAGCCACGGCUAACUACGUGCCAGCAGCCGCGGUAAUACGUAGGUGGCAAGCGUUGUCCGGAAUUAUUGGGCGUAAAGCGCUCGCAGGCGGUUCUUUAAGUCUGAUGUGAAAUCUUACGGCUCAACCGUAAACGUGCAUUGGAAACUGGGGAACUUGAGUGCAGAAGAGGAGAGUGGAAUUCCACGUGUAGCGGUGAAAUGCGUAGAGAUGUGGAGGAACACCAGUGGCGAAGGCGACUCUCUGGUCUGUAACUGACGCUGAGGAGCGACAGCGUGGGGAGCGAACAGGAUUAGAUACCCUGGUAGUCCACGCCGUAAACGAUGAGUGCUAGGUGUCAGGGGGUUUCCGCCCCUUAGUGCUGAAGUUAACGCAUUAAGCACUCCGCCUGGGGAGUACGGCCGCAAGGCUGAAACUCAAAAGAUUUGACGGGGGCCCGCACCAAGCGGUGGAGCAUGUGGUUUAGUUCGAAGCAACGCGAAGAACCUUACAGGUCUUGACAUCCUCUGAACGCUCUAGAGA